UCCUCCGUGGCGCAAUUGGCUAGCGCGUUCGACUGUUAAGCAUAGCAUAGCAAAUCGAGAGGUUGAAAGUUCGAGCCUUUCCGGGGGAG
Molecule: non-coding RNA, 89 nt
Organism: Cucurbitaria berberidis CBS 394.84
Lineage: Eukaryota; Fungi; Ascomycota; Dothideomycetes; Pleosporales; Cucurbitariaceae
Source: the annotation of a RefSeq genome assembly